This is a long non-coding RNA of Lathyrus oleraceus (garden pea), 1153 nucleotides long. RefSeq lists it as uncharacterized. The transcript is spliced from 4 exons. NCBI's taxonomy places the organism in Eukaryota, Viridiplantae, Streptophyta, Magnoliopsida, Fabales, Fabaceae. The record is from RefSeq and is a predicted model, not a curated record.
UCUUCUGCAGCGGAGCUCAUCACCGGCGGCGGAGGAGCUCCAACCACCACCCAAAACCUGCUAACCCCAACCUCUCAUUCCACUGAUCAUGAAUCCCAGGAUCAAAUAAGAUGAAAUCUAACCAACUGAGUGAAUCGAAGGAAAGCAAGGUAUGAACCCUAGAAACAGGGACUGAAAUUAAAUGGAGGAAACGCGAUAACCGUCCCUGAAAAUUAGGGAAAAUUCUCCCCUAGCUAGCCUCUGCACACUAGUAACUCAAAUGCAAGCAGCUGAAGGUUUGAGGUCUACCUUUGUCUGAAAAGAUGACUGGAAAGUAGCAAAAACUUAGGUUUGCAUUGGUUAUGUAGCAGGUCUCAAAUUUUGGAAUUUCCGUGGUUUGUUGCAAGUUGAUUUUGUUGUAGAUGGUGAGUUGAAUUGGUGCAUGCUUGUUGUUUGUUGCCAUGUUAUGGACUGAUAUGAUGCUCAUGGUUAGGUUGGAUAAUUCUAAUUGCAAUCUUGGUUCAUGUUCAUGGCUUGACAUGGUUUAUGUAUUGCUGAGGUGUUGCUUAUGUUCUGACUUGCUGUUGGAUGAACGCAUGUCAUGUUGCAAGAUUAAUGAGAAGGUUGCAGAUUUGGAUGUUGUUUGAUGUAGGGCUUGAUUGAAUGAGGCUGUAGGUUUACUUAAAUGGUGAUGUUUGAUUUCAAGAUUUGUUGCAGCAGGUCUAGCUUGGCAUAAGUUUUGUAUCAUGGUUUGUAACAUGGAAUAUCAAGUAUGCAUUGCUUCAUGGCAUGCUUUCUAGCAGGUCAUGGUUUGCUCAUGCUUAGCUUAGUUCAUGGCAUGAUGGUUGAACCAACAUGACACCAAGGUUGGAAAUUGAAGCAUCCAUGUACAAAUGGCCAACCCAAGAUCAAAAUGAACUUUGAAAAUAGGAUUAGAACUAGGAUGGGGAAUUUAGGAGUUUAUGAUGGAAAAAUGGUUUGAUUUGACUUUGGUCAAAGUUUAACAAAAAGGCAACUAUUGACCAAAGUCAACAUUUAGUCAAAAAGUCUUUUUUUUGUUAUUUUCCCUGUAGGAACAUUUGUAUGAGCAUGUAAUGAAUGGAAUUGAUAUUUUGUAUGGAAUUUGUAUUGAAUCUUGUAUAGACUUGAUAUUGAAUGAAUUGAUGAAUCUGAA